This 716-nucleotide long non-coding RNA is filed under the name Triticum aestivum (bread wheat). RNAcentral's name for it is "long non-coding RNA (TAES_LNC026552)". The record is from RNAcentral. Lineage: Eukaryota; Viridiplantae; Streptophyta; Magnoliopsida; Poales; Poaceae.
GUGGAUUAUAAAACGUGCGUUGCACGUGCACGCUUACUAGUUGUAGAAAUCUAAUAACAUGUUGAUGACAAUUUUUUUUUGAGCAUCAGUACAGACACAAGCGCUCAUAUACACGCGCAUACACUCACUCCUAUGAACGCACACACGCACACCCUACCCCUAUGAGCACCUCUGAAAGACUAAGCCGGCAUAUCAUCUUAAGAUUUAUGAAGUCACCGUAGGCGCCUCGUCGUCGACGGAAACGUCUCCUCCCACUAAAAGCGCAUCGCCAGAAAUCCUGAAAUAAAUCCAGGAAUAAUGCGAGCACCAGGAUUUGAACCCUGGUGGGUUGGGGAUAUCACUGUCCACCUAACCAACUCAACCACAGGUUGAUUCGCGCCGAUGACAAUUAGUGCAAAGGCAUAGCAAGAAGUAUUAAAUAUUCAGGCAAACAGAGAGAAGGACAUGAAAAAAUGGAACAAAUUAAAUAGAUAUGGACUGGUGUGUGGAACAGAAGUAUUGGUGAUUACCAGUAUUUUGCAGGUGGUCACUGCCGAGGAUUCCAGCGCAAGCGAAGUGAAUCGGUUUCAUGAAUUUAGACGAACCGAGAUCAGACAUUCUACGAUUGGAACAAUCAUUGACUGUGCCGCACCAGCCUCCUCCCUUGGUUGUUAAAAGAAACAAACAAGUCCAUCAACUAAUUGCCCUUCCUUGAGUCAACUUGCUAGACAUCCCCA